AUAUGAAGGCGGGCUGGAACCUCUCGGGGUUACAGCCUUGCUGAAUUAUUCACCCUUGUCUUUUGCGUACUUCUUGUUUCCUUGGUGGGUUCGCCCACCACUAGGACAAACAUAAACCUUUUGUAAUUGCAAUCAGCGUCAGUAACAAAUUAAUAAUUACAACUUUCAACAACGGAUCUCUUGGUUCUGGCAUCGAUGAAGAACGCAGCGAAAUGCGAUAAGUAGUGUGAAUUGCAGAUUUCAGUGAAUCAUCGAAUCUUUGAACGCACAUUGCGCCCUUUGGUAUUCCAAAGGGCAUGCCUGUUCGAGCGUCAUUUGUACCCUCAAGCUUUGCUUGGUGUUGGGCGUCUUGUCUCUAGCUUUGCUGGAGACUCGCCUUAAAGUAAUUGGCAGCCGGCCUACUGGUUUCGGAGCGCAGCACAAGUCGCACUCUCUAUCAGCAAAGGUCUAGCAUCCAUUAAGCCUUUUUUUCAACUUUUGACCUCGGAUCAGGUAGGGAUACCCGCUGAACUUAAGCAUAU
RNAcentral lists this ribosomal RNA (521 nucleotides) under fungal endophyte. RNAcentral describes it as "eukaryotic LSU rRNA". The stretch from base 161 to 314 matches the Rfam family "5.8S ribosomal RNA". The record is from RNAcentral. Lineage: Eukaryota; Fungi.